RNAcentral lists this transfer RNA (72 nucleotides) under Propionibacteriaceae bacterium. RNAcentral describes it as "tRNA-Cys". It matches the Rfam family "tRNA". From Rfam's summary of the family: Transfer RNA (tRNA) molecules are approximately 80 nucleotides in length. Their secondary structure includes four short double-helical elements and three loops (D, anti-codon, and T loops). Lineage: Bacteria; Bacillati; Actinomycetota; Actinomycetes; Propionibacteriales; Propionibacteriaceae. The record is from RNAcentral.
GGUGGAUUGGCCGAGUGGUUUAGGCAAGGGCCUGCAAAGCCCUUCACACGGGUUCGAUUCCCGUAUCCACCU